CCUACGGGAGGCAGCAGUAGGGAAUCUUCCGCAAUGGGCGAAAGCCUGACGGAGCAACGCCGCGUGAGUGAUGAAGGUCUUCGGAUCGUAAAACUCUGUUAUCAGGGAAGAACAAAUGUGUAAGUAACUGUGCACAUCUUGACGGUACCUGAUCAGAAAGCCACGGCUAACUACGUGCCAGCAACCGCGGUAAUACGUAGGUGGCAAGCGUUAUCCGGAAUUAUUGGGCGUAAAGCGCGCGUAGGCGGUUUUUUAAGUCUGAUGUGAAAGCCCACGGCUCAACCGUGGAGGGUCAUUGGAAACUGGAAAACUUGAGUGCAGAAGAGGAAAGUGGAAUUCCAUGUGUAGCGGUGAAAUGCGCAGAGAUAUGGAGGAACACCAGUGGCGAAGGCGACUUUCUGGUCUGUAACUGACGCUGAUGUGCGAAAGCGUGGGGAUCAAACAGGAUUAGAUACCCUGGUAGUCCACGCCGUAAACGAUGAGUGCUAAGUGUUAGGGGGUUUUCCGCCCCGUUAGUGCUGCNGCUACGCAUUAAGCACCUCCCGCCCGUCGGGGUAGGGUACCGGACCCGGCCGAGGUUAGGUAAACCGUACCGAAACUAGUAAGUUAGUACGGCGUGAGGACGUACGACCGACGGACGACCGACCGACGGGGGAGGGUUAGGGG
This 666-nucleotide ribosomal RNA is filed under the name uncultured bacterium. RNAcentral describes it as "bacterial SSU rRNA". The stretch from base 1 to 547 matches the Rfam family "Bacterial small subunit ribosomal RNA", at positions 338 to 873 of the family's 1533-position model. The record is from RNAcentral.